Molecule: small nuclear RNA, 102 nt
Filed under: Salvator merianae (Argentine black and white tegu)
Lineage: Eukaryota; Metazoa; Chordata; Lepidosauria; Squamata; Teiidae
Source: RNAcentral
GUACUCACUUUGGCAGCACAUGUACUAAAAUCGGAACAAUAAAGAUUAGCAUGCGUCCUGCACAAGGAUGACAUACAAAUUCUUCUUAUCAUCCAUCAGUCU